AUGACCCCUUUUUUCACAUGUUGGGCAGUUGUAUGUACAGGAAGGGGACUUCAAACCUACGGAACCCUUUCCCACAUGAGGAACAAGAUGUAGGGCAAGAGAAGCCUUUGCCACAAGCUUGGAGAUGUGUUUGUACGGGGUGGACAUAUCACACACAGAGAUAGAAACACGAGUGAGAAACCGCACACACGCAUGGGCUGCACCAUGGGAGGGCCUUGCCCGCAUGAGUAAAGCAUGCGGUUAGCAAGCUGAACCUGAUAAGGGU
Molecule: long non-coding RNA, 265 nt
Filed under: Carica papaya (papaya)
Lineage: Eukaryota; Viridiplantae; Streptophyta; Magnoliopsida; Brassicales; Caricaceae
Description: long non-coding RNA (CPAP_LNC009059)
Source: RNAcentral